CCCUUAAAAGACGAUAAGACCCUAGGAUCUUCMUAUUUUUAAUUGGGUCAAUAGUCAAAAAUAAURGUGWCUUCUUAGCCUCUUAAUGAACCAAAUUCCUGUUGCAAGACAAAGAUACCCUAGGGAUAACAGCACUAACUUCCUCUAAAGCCCCUAUUGAAAGGAAAGUAGUGACCUCGAUGUUGAAUUAAGAUUGGAGAGGCUGAAGCCGGCUUUCUUCCGGGGUCUGUUCGACCCUUUCAUCUUACGUGAUCUGAGUUCAGACCGG
RNAcentral lists this ribosomal RNA (268 nucleotides) under Nemesis sp. 4 SMD-2008. RNAcentral describes it as "partial 16S ribosomal RNA". It matches the Rfam family "Bacterial large subunit ribosomal RNA", at positions 2077 to 2619 of the family's 2925-position model. The record is from RNAcentral. Lineage: Eukaryota; Metazoa; Arthropoda; Copepoda; Siphonostomatoida; Eudactylinidae.